This 182-nucleotide small nuclear RNA is filed under the name Xenopus tropicalis (tropical clawed frog). Its description in RNAcentral is "U2 spliceosomal RNA (ENSXETG00000043817.1)". It matches the Rfam family "U2 spliceosomal RNA". From Rfam's summary of the family: U2 is a small nuclear RNA (snRNA) component of the spliceosome (involved in pre-mRNA splicing). The record is from Rfam by way of RNAcentral. Lineage: Eukaryota; Metazoa; Chordata; Amphibia; Anura; Pipidae.
GCUUCUCCCUUUGGCUCAAGUGUAAGUUAUCUGUUCUUAUCAGUUUAAUAUCUGAUACGUCCCCUAUCUGGGGACCAUAUAUUAAAUGGAUUUUUGGAACAGGGAGAUGGAAGAAGAGCUUGCUCUGUCCACUCCACGCAUCGACCUGGUAUUGCAGUACCUCCAGGACCGGUGCACCUCUC